UACGGGGGGGGCAAGCGUUGUUCGGAAUUACUGGGCGUAAAGGGCUCGUAGGUGGCCAACUAAGUCGGACGUGAAAUCCCUCGGCUUAACCGGGGAACUGCGUCUGAUACUGGAUGGCUUGAGUUCGGGAGAGGGAUGCGGAAUUCCAGGUGUAGCGGUGAAAUGCGUAGAUAUCUGGAGGAACACCGGUGGCGAAGGCGGCAUCCUGGACCAACACUGACACUGAAAAGCGAAAGCCAGGGGAGCAAACGGG
This 253-nucleotide ribosomal RNA is filed under the name uncultured bacterium. Its description in RNAcentral is "partial 16S ribosomal RNA". It matches the Rfam family "Bacterial small subunit ribosomal RNA", at positions 524 to 776 of the family's 1533-position model. The record is from RNAcentral.